GAUGAACGCUGGCGGCGUGCCUAACACAUGCAAGUCGAGCGAAGCGCCUUACUUGAUUUCUUCGGGAUGAAAGUAUUGUGACUGAGCGGGCGACGGGUGAAGGUACGCGUAGGUAUAACCUGCCUCAUACAGGGGGAUAACAGUUAGAAAUGACUGCUAAUACCGCAUAAGACCACAGCACCGCAUGGUGCAGGGGUAAAAGGAGCAAUUCGCUUUGGGAUGGACUCGCGUCCGAUUAGCUAGAUGGUGAGGUAACGGCCCACCAUGGCGACGAUCGGUAGCCGGACUGAGAGGUUGAUCGGCCACAUUGGGACUGAGACACGGCCCAG
Molecule: ribosomal RNA, 329 nt
Filed under: uncultured bacterium
Lineage: Bacteria
Description: bacterial SSU rRNA
Rfam family: Bacterial small subunit ribosomal RNA
Source: RNAcentral